CACGUAGGGCGCAAGCGUUGUCCGGAAUUAUUGGGCGUAAAGAGCUCGUAGGCGGUCUGUUGCGUCCGCUGUGAAAACUCGGGGCUUAACCCCGAGCCUGCAGUGGAUACGGGCAGACUAGAGGUAGGUAGGGGAGAAUGGAAUUCCAGGUGUAGCGGUGAAAUGCGUAGAUAUCUGGAGGAACACCGGUGGCGAAGGCGGCAUCCUGGACCGGUAUUGACGCUGAUGCGCGAAAGCCAGGGGAGCAAACGGG
Molecule: ribosomal RNA, 253 nt
Filed under: uncultured bacterium
Lineage: Bacteria
Description: partial 16S ribosomal RNA
Rfam family: Bacterial small subunit ribosomal RNA
Source: RNAcentral